Molecule: ribosomal RNA, 550 nt
Filed under: uncultured archaeon
Lineage: Archaea
Description: bacterial SSU rRNA
Rfam family: Archaeal small subunit ribosomal RNA
Source: RNAcentral
ACGGGGUGCAGCAGGCGCGAAAACUUUACAAUGCGGGAAACCGCGAUAAGGGGACACCGAGUGCCAGCAUAUUAUGUUGGCUGUCCAUAUGUAUAAAUAACAUGUGUUAGCAAGGGCUGGGCAAGACCGGUGCCAGCCGCCGCGGUAACACCGGCGGCCCGAGUGGUAGCCACUAUUAUUGGGUCUAAAGGGUCCGUAGCCGGUUUGAUCAGUCUUCCGGGAAAUCUGACAGCUCAACUGUUAGGCUUCCGGGGGAUACUGUCAGACUUGGACCGGGAGAGGCUAGAGGUACUUCUGGGGUAGGGGUAAAAUCCUGUAAUCCUAGAAGGACCACCGGUGGCGAAGGCGUCUAGCUAGAACGGAUCCGACGGUGAGGGACGAAGCCCUGGGUCGCAAACGGGAUUAGAUACCCCGGUAGUCCAGGGUGUAAACGCUGCAGGCUUGGUGUUGGGGACCCUUCGUGGGUGUUCAGUGCCGGAGAGAAGUUGUUAAGCCUGCUACUUGGGGAGUACGUCCGCAAGGAUGAAACUUAAAGGAAUUGGCGGGGGAG